Molecule: ribosomal RNA, 497 nt
Filed under: uncultured bacterium
Lineage: Bacteria
Description: partial 16S ribosomal RNA
Rfam family: Bacterial small subunit ribosomal RNA
Source: RNAcentral
GAUGAACGCUGGCGGCGUGCCUAAUACAUGCAAGUCGAGCGAACAGACGAGGAGCUUGCUCCUCUGACGUUAGCGGCGGACGGGUGAGUAACACGUGGAUAACCUACCUAUAAGACUGGGAUAACUUCGGGAAACCGGAGCUAAUACCGGAUAAUAUAUUGAACCGCAUGGUUCAAUAGUGAAAGACGGUUUUGCUGUCACUUAUCGAUGGAUCCGCGCCGCAUUAGCUAGUUGGUAAGGUAACGGCUUACCAAGGCAACGAUGCGUAGCCGACCUGAGAGGGUGAUCGGCCACACUGGAACUGAGACACGGUCCAGACUCCUACGGGAGGCAGCAGUAGGUAAUCUUCCGCAAUGGGCGAAAGCUUGACGGAGCAACGCCGCGUGAGUGAUGAAGGUCUUCGGAUCGUAAAACUCUGUUAUUAGGGAAGAACAAAUGUGUAAGUAACUAUGCACGGCUUGACGGUACCUAAACAGAAAGCCACGGCUAACUACGUG